This 1458-nucleotide transfer RNA is filed under the name Marmota monax (woodchuck). The stretch from base 605 to 668 matches the Rfam family "tRNA", at positions 5 to 66 of the family's 71-position model. Lineage: Eukaryota; Metazoa; Chordata; Mammalia; Rodentia; Sciuridae. The record is from RNAcentral.
AAAGUGAUCUGCUUCACUCACACUCAGAAUCUACUCAUUGAACUGUAUUGUCAUCUAGAAAGUACCCUCACAGCAGCAUCUGGAGUGAUGUUUGACCAAAUAUCUGGGUGCAGUGGCCUAGUCAAGUUGAUAUAAAAUUAACCAUCCUGAUGUGGUACCGUGUCCUUUGCCUUCUAGAUGUUCUUAAUCAUCCUUUAUGAAACAUACAGAGGCAUAAAAAUCUCAAAGCAAUUUUUAUUGCUUAGAAAAAAGAAUCCUUCUUUGUUAAGACUGGGGUCAAGAGACUUGUGUUCCUGGUGUCUUAAUCACUUCAUUAGACCAAAGAAAAAUAGUGACUGAUUUUUUCAUAGUUUGAAAAACUAGGACUGAAUAGAUUUGUUUGGGUCUGAUUUUGUUGUUCCAGGUUAACUUACAAAUUCCCAAUUAUUGUGUUUCUAGAUUUAAAAGAAAAUGCAAAAUUUAAGAACAACCUUUCCAUAGAUCAGGUAAACAUUGUCCCAAGCCAAUCAAAUAUGCCAGCUACCUCUAACUGUGGAGAGAUGAUCACACAACUUUUGGUGUACAUCAGCACCAUGUUCUGUGUAAGAUGGGUCUCAGGGCUGGCGUGUAGCUCAGUGGUAGAGUGCUAUGCCUAGCUUGCAUGAGGCCCUGGGUUCAAUCCCCAGUACCGAUGUGUUUCAAUGGCAGGUUGUACAUCACACCAAAACUUGGCUUUUUGAUACAUUAGGUGUGCGUGGCUUAUGUUUCAGUAAAUGCAUGACCUUCUAUGAGUAUCUUCAUCCUGAGAAAGUGCAUGUGCCACCUGUCUUGUUCAAAGAUGUGCCCUUAGUAGGACCUGAUGUUCUCUUUGCUUUUCUUCCUUUUUCUAAUGGCACCUCUUUGGCCAAGCCUGCCUCAUAGCCCCUUCCUGAGCCUUGGCACUAGCACAGGUGCAGAAGUUUCCCAGGGAUUUCCCCACACAGGUGCAGUAGAGGAGCCACUCGGAGGUCAACCCUACCAACUGACUCAUUAGCCAUCUGAGCGAGUCCUCAUGCUCCCCCAUCAUGGUUACUGAGCAAGGUAGUCCUCUUCCAGAUGAGGAAACCUGAGGCAAAGGGGUUAAGUGACUUGCCCUGGGUCACUUGGGAAGUUCCUGCAACUAGAACAAUCACUUUCUGCUAUUCGGUCAAGUGCUUAAGUGCUGGCCUCCCUGAUUCCUUCUUCUAGCAUGCAUUUAAUCAAUAAAUCAAUUUCCUCUCCUCCUGUUCAUCCUAGUAGUGCAAGGAAGAAGGUCGCAUGAUGUGUGCAUAGACUGCUGUCCUCCACGUUCCAAGAUGAUGUUGGUGACAGUGAUUUGUUAUCACUCUGCUCCAGUGUGACAGGAAAGAUCAAUAAGCAGCCAAUAGCCCUUUCCAUGAUGGCCAAAGUACAAAACUGCCCCUGGACUCAGGUCUGCAGGCACUGUGUGCAAAGACUCGC